This 468-nucleotide ribosomal RNA is filed under the name uncultured bacterium. RNAcentral's name for it is "partial 16S ribosomal RNA". It matches the Rfam family "Bacterial small subunit ribosomal RNA", at positions 28 to 507 of the family's 1533-position model. The record is from RNAcentral.
GACGAACGCUGGCGGCGUGCUUAACACAUGCAAGUCGAACGGAAAGGCCCUGCUUUUGUGGGGUGCUCGAGUGGCGAACGGGUGAGUAACACGUGAGUAACCUGCCCUGGACUUUGGGAUAACUUCAGGAAACUGGGGCUAAUACCGGAUAGGAGCUCCUGCUGCAUGGUGGGGGUUGGAAAGUUUCGGCGGUUGGGGAUGGACUCGCGGCUUAUCAGCUUGUUGGUGGGGUAGUGGCUUACCAAGGCUUUGACGGGUAGCCGGCCUGAGAGGGUGACCGGCCACAUUGGGACUGAGAUACGGCGCAGACUCCUACGGGAGGCAGCAGUGGGGAAUAUUGCACAAUGGGCGGAAGCCUGAUGCAGCAACGCCGCGUGCGGGAUGACGGCCUUCGGGUUGUAAACCGCUUUCGCCUGUGACGAAGCGUGAGUGACGGUAAUGGGUAAAGAAGCACCGGCUAACUACGUG